AGAACGAACGUUAGCGGCGCGCUUAACACAUGCAAGUCGAACGAGAAAGCACCUUCGGGUGUGAGUAAAGUGGCGCACGGGUGAGUAUCACGUGGGUUAUCUGCCCUUUGGUGGGGGACAACACUUCGAAAGGAGUGCUAAUACCACAUAAGUCGGCUUCGGCCGGGAAAGACGGCUUCGGCUGUCGCCAGAGGAUGAGCCCGCGGCCCAUCAGCUUGUUGGUAGGGUAAUGGCCUACCAAGGCUACGACGGGUAGCUGGUCUAAGAGGACGAUCAGCCACACUGGAACUGAGACACGGUCCAGACUCCUACGGGAGGCAGCAGUGGGGAAUAUUGCGCAAUGGGCGAAAGCCUGACGCAGCGACGCCGCGUGGGUGAUGAAGGCCUUCGGGUCGUAAAGCCUUGUGGGAGAGGGACGAACAACCCGGGGGAAUAAUACCCCUUGGGUCUGACGGUACCUCUUCAGAAAGCACCGGCUAACUCCGUGCCAGCAGCCGCGGUAAUACGGAGGGUGCAAACGUUGUUCGGAAUUACUGGGCGUAAAGCGCGUGUAGGUGGCUUUGUAAGUCAGAUGUGAAAGCCCUCGGCUCAACCGAGGAAGGGCAUUUGAAACUGCGAGGAUAGAGUACGGGAGAGGGUUGUAGAAUUCCAGGUGUAGAGGUGAAAUUCGUAGAUAUCUGGAGGAAUACCGGUGGCGAAGGCGGCAACCUGGACCGAUACUGACACUGAGACGCGAAAGCGUGGGGAGCAAACAGGAUUAGAUACCCUGGUAGUCCACGCCGUAACGAUGGAUACUAGUGCAGCGGGUAUCCACC
This 815-nucleotide ribosomal RNA is filed under the name uncultured bacterium. RNAcentral describes it as "bacterial SSU rRNA". It matches the Rfam family "Bacterial small subunit ribosomal RNA", at positions 26 to 837 of the family's 1533-position model. The record is from RNAcentral.